GAACCUGAAACCGUGUGCUUACAAGUAGUCAGAGCCCGUUAAUGGGUGAUGGCGUGCCUUUUGUAGAAUGAACCGGCGAGUUACGAUUUGAUGCAAGGUUAAGCAGUAAAUGUGGAGCCGUAGCGAAAGCGAGUCUGAAUAGGGCGUUUAGUAUUUGGUCGUAGACCCGAAACCAGGUGAUCUACCCUUGGUCAGGUUGAAGUUCAGGUAACACUGAAUGGAGGACCGAACCGACUUACGUUGAAAAGUGAGCGGAUGAACUGAGGGUAGCGGAGAAAUUCCAAUCGAACCUGGAGAUAGCUGGUUCUCUCCGAAAUAGCUUUAGGGCUAGCCUCAAGUGAUGAUUAUUGGAGGUAGAGCACUGUUUGGACGAGGGGCCCCUCUCGGGUUACCGAAUUCAGACAAACUCCGAAUGCCAAUUAAUUUAACUUGGGAGUCAGAACAUGGGUGAUAAGGUCCGUGUUCGAAAGGGAAACAGCCCAGACCACCAGCUAAGGUCCCAAAAUAUAUGUUAAGUGGAAAAGGAUGUGGCGUUGCCCAGACAACUAGGAUGUUGGCUUAGAAGCAGCCAUCAUUUAAAGAGUGCGUAAUAGCUCACUAGUCGAGUGACACUGCGCCGAAAAUGUACCGGGGCUAAACAUAUUACCGAAGCUGUGGAUUGUCCUUUGGACAAUGGUAGGAGAGCGUUCUAAGGGCGUUGAAGCAUGAUCGUAAGGACAUGUGGAGCGCUUAGAAGUGAGAAUGCCGGUGUGAGUAGCGAAAGACGGGUGAGAAUCCCGUCCACCGAUUGACUAAGGUUUCCAGAGGAAGGCUCGUCCGCUCUGGGUUAGUCGGGUCCUAAGCUGAGGCCGACAGGCGUAGGCGAUGGAUAACAGGUUGAUAUUCCUGUACCACCUAUAAUCGUUUUA
This 908-nucleotide ribosomal RNA is filed under the name Staphylococcus aureus. Its description in RNAcentral is "partial 23S ribosomal RNA". It matches the Rfam family "Bacterial large subunit ribosomal RNA", at positions 546 to 1461 of the family's 2925-position model. Lineage: Bacteria; Bacillati; Bacillota; Bacilli; Caryophanales; Staphylococcaceae. The record is from RNAcentral.